RNAcentral lists this long non-coding RNA (1090 nucleotides) under Helianthus annuus (common sunflower). RNAcentral describes it as "hypothetical non coding rna". The record is from RNAcentral. Lineage: Eukaryota; Viridiplantae; Streptophyta; Magnoliopsida; Asterales; Asteraceae.
GUGAGAUGUGCAGAUAUCUAGAGAUGGAAAGAGAUUCUGGGAGAGAGAAUCGUGAUGGACUGGUGGCUGACCACCGCAACCAUUGGCGGCGCCACCUGAUUCCGGCGCGUCAACGACCGCAACCGACGGAACAAUGGCUGAGCCCUUGAGAGAGAGAAGACGCUGGCCUUGAAGACGGUUAGCAUUCCGACCAAAUUAGACCAGGUUCCGGUACGACUAGGGUUCUAGGAGCAGUGCCGGCAAAGAUAAUCAGUUGAAGAUCCGGUGAGCGGAUUAAAGCCUGGUGUCCGUAGGAAUGAAUCUGGGGUGAUUACGGUUACCGGAAAAGCAUCGUCUGGUGUCCGUAGGAAUGAAUUUCUCACAGCUCUUAAUCCCUGAUUUUGAGAAUUUAUGUUUGAAUAGUACUCGCAAUGGGGAAUGAUGUGUUGUGAAUAACUUCGGGUGAAGUGGAAGGACAUGUAGGAAAUCGAUGAGAAGGCAAACCAUCCGAGAGACGACCAGUGUAUCAAUCCAUCGACUGAAAAAGUAUGGCCAUAUGUAGAGGUGAUGGGGUAGCCAAGACUAAGGUGUUAUGACCAUAAGAAAUCCCACACUCCACUCUAUUCUUUUAGUGACAUGGAUCUAGCAUCAAGGUUUUGGGAAUCUAUCGAAAGCAUGGACCAAGAAGUCAAGGGACCGGAGUUCACGUGGGAACUUAAAGAUCUGUUAAAGCUCUAAUAUCCUCAAUUGUUCAAGUGGUUGAACCAACUUUUGUAGUCAUUGGCGAAUUUUGGGACGAAAUUCCCUUUCAAGUUGGGGAUGAUGUGGUACCCGGGAAAAUCCACAGUCAUCCUGAUCUAACACCUUGCUGCUAGGGAUUGCCUGUCUUGGAUUACUUAUCAAAUUUCGGGGCGAAAUUUCUUUCAAGUUGGGGAUGAUGUGACAACCUGAGAUUUCAAGGUCUUCCGUUACGUGUUAAUUGCUUACAAUCCUGUUUUCAUACUUAGCUUUGUGUUGCAACUUGAACAUGAUUGGUAAAUUGUAUGAUUAUUAGUUAAUGGAACUUGUAAACUGUUUAAGGCUUUUAGACUUAGUCCAUGACUUCAUACUU